RNAcentral lists this transfer RNA (73 nucleotides) under Mustela putorius furo (domestic ferret). It matches the Rfam family "tRNA". Rfam says of the family: Transfer RNA (tRNA) molecules are approximately 80 nucleotides in length. Their secondary structure includes four short double-helical elements and three loops (D, anti-codon, and T loops). Lineage: Eukaryota; Metazoa; Chordata; Mammalia; Carnivora; Mustelidae. The record is from Rfam by way of RNAcentral.
GCCUGGCUGGCUUAGUUGGUAGAGCAUGUAACUCUUGAUAUCAAGAUCAUGAGUUCAAGCCCUAUGUUGGGUU